This 277-nucleotide ribosomal RNA is filed under the name uncultured prokaryote. Its description in RNAcentral is "partial 16S ribosomal RNA". It matches the Rfam family "Bacterial small subunit ribosomal RNA", at positions 524 to 801 of the family's 1533-position model. The record is from RNAcentral.
UACGUAGGGGGCUAGCGUUAUCCGGAAUUACUGGGCGUAAGGGGUGCGUAGGUGGUUUCUUAAGUCAGAGGUGAAAGGCUACGGCUCAACCGUAGUAAGCCUUUGAAACUGGGAAACUUGAGUGCAGGAGAGGAGAGUGGAAUUCCUAGUGUAGCGGUGAAAUGCGUAGAUAUUAGGAGGAACACCAGUUGCGAAGGCGGCUCUCUGGACUGUAACUGACACUGAGGCACGAAAGCGUGGGGAGCAAACAGGAUUAGAUACCCGUGUAGUCCCUGAG